RNAcentral lists this ribosomal RNA (433 nucleotides) under uncultured bacterium. RNAcentral's name for it is "partial 16S ribosomal RNA". It matches the Rfam family "Bacterial small subunit ribosomal RNA", at positions 29 to 507 of the family's 1533-position model. The record is from RNAcentral.
AACGAACGCUGGCGGCAUGCCUAACACAUGCAAGUCGAACGAGACCUUCGGGUCUAGUGGCGCACGGGUGCGUAACGCGUGGGAACCUGCCCUUAGGUUCGGAAUAACUCUCCGAAAGGGGUGCUAAUACCGGAUAAUGUCUUCGGACCAAAGAUUUAUCGUCUUUGGAUGGGCCCGCGUUGGUUUAGCUAGUUGGUAGGGUAAAAGCCUACCACGGCGACGAUCCAUAGCUGGGCUGAGAGGAAGAUCAGCCACACUGGGACUGAGACACGGCCCAGACUCCUACGGGAGGCAGCAGUGGUGAAUAUUGGACAAUGGGCGAAAGCCUGAUCCAGCAAUGCCGCGUGAGUGAUGAAGGCCUUAGGGUUGUAAAGCUCUUUUACCCGGGAUGAUAAUGACAGUACCGGGAGAAUAAGCUCCGGCUAACUCCGUG